RNAcentral lists this ribosomal RNA (229 nucleotides) under uncultured bacterium. RNAcentral's name for it is "partial 16S ribosomal RNA". It matches the Rfam family "Bacterial small subunit ribosomal RNA", at positions 568 to 796 of the family's 1533-position model. The record is from RNAcentral.
UGCGCAGGCGGAAUGAUAAGUCAGUGGUGAAAUCCUACAGCUUAACUGUAGAACUGCCAUUGAUACUGUUGUUCUUGAGUACAUUUGUAGUGGGCGGAAUGUGUCAUGUAGCGGUGAAAUGCUUAGAGAUGACACAGAACACCGAUCGCGAAGGCAGCUCACUAAACUGUAACUGACGCUGAGGCACGAAAGCGUGGGGAUCAAACAGGAUUAGAUACCCUGGUAGUCC